AGUUGUUUACUGCAGGAUCCGACUCAGGGUUAUAGUUCAGUCUGUCGACUGAAGACCGAGGAUGCGUUACCUUACAGCUGUUUUUGUUUUCUGUAAUGAAUCACCCUGCUGAGCUGAAUGUUUCUA
Long non-coding RNA from Xiphophorus hellerii (green swordtail), 126 nucleotides. RefSeq lists it as uncharacterized. The transcript is spliced from 3 exons. Lineage: Eukaryota; Metazoa; Chordata; Actinopteri; Cyprinodontiformes; Poeciliidae. The record is from RefSeq and is a predicted model, not a curated record.